This 472-nucleotide ribosomal RNA is filed under the name Pseudoeurycea brunnata (brown false brook salamander). RNAcentral describes it as "partial 12S ribosomal RNA". It matches the Rfam family "Bacterial small subunit ribosomal RNA", at positions 778 to 1496 of the family's 1533-position model. The record is from RNAcentral. Lineage: Eukaryota; Metazoa; Chordata; Amphibia; Caudata; Plethodontidae.
UUAGAUACCCCACUAUGCCAGGCCAUAAACUUCGGACGAGCCCCGCCAGAGCACUACGAGCCACAGCUUAAAACUCAAAGGACUUGGCGGUGCCCUAUACCCACCUAGAGGAGCCUGUUCUAUAAUUGAUAAUCCCCAAUAUACCUCACCGCCCCUUGCUAAUACAGCCUAUAUACCACCGUCACAAGCCCACCCCAUCAAAGGAAUAAUAGUAGGCUAAACAAUUAAAAAUAAAAAAGUCAGGUCAAGGUGUAGCACACGAGUCGGAAAGAAAUGGGCUACAUUUUCUUCAAAGAAAAUACGGAAUGUUUUAUGAAAUAAAACAUGAAGGAGGAUUUAGCAGUAAAAAGGGAAUAGAGAGCCCUUUUAAAAUUGGCAAUAGGACGAGCACACACCGCCCGUCACCCUCUUUAAACACAAUAUAAAAUAAAUAAAAAAAUUAAACAUUUAGAAGAGGAAAGUCGUAACAUGG